Molecule: ribosomal RNA, 385 nt
Filed under: uncultured Agaricomycetes
Lineage: Eukaryota; Fungi; Basidiomycota; Agaricomycetes
Description: eukaryotic LSU rRNA
Rfam family: Eukaryotic large subunit ribosomal RNA
Source: RNAcentral
UUGUUUGGGAAUGUCAGCUCAAAAUGGGUGGUAAAUUCUCAUCUAAAGCUAAAUACAGGCGAGAGACCGAUAGCGAACAAGUACCGUGAGGGAAAGAUGAAAAGCACUUUGGAAAGAGAGUAAAACAGUACGUGAAAUUGUUGAAAGGGAAACGCUUGAAGUCAGUCGUGUCUGCGGGGACUCAGCUUGGCUUUUGCCUAGUGUACCUUCCUGUUGACAGGCCAACAUCAAUUUUGACUGGCAGACAAAGGCCAGAGAAAUGUGGCAGCUUUUGCUGUGUUAUAGUCUCUGGUUGUAUGUGUCAGUUGGGAUUGAGGAAUCCGGUAUGCAAGUACCUGGGAUGUUGGCGUAAUGGCUUUAAACGACCCGUCUUGAAACACGGACC